Unclassified non-coding RNA from Callithrix jacchus (white-tufted-ear marmoset), 149 nucleotides. It matches the Rfam family "Metazoan signal recognition particle RNA". Rfam says of the family: The signal recognition particle (SRP) is a universally conserved ribonucleoprotein. NCBI's taxonomy places the organism in Eukaryota, Metazoa, Chordata, Mammalia, Primates, Cebidae. The record is from Ensembl.
GCCAGGCACAGUGAUGUGCACCUGUAUUCCUAAGCAAUUCAGGAGGCUGAGGCAGGAGAAUUGCUUGAGCACAGGGGUUCUAGGCUGCAGUGAGCUAUGAUCAUGCCACUGCACUCUAGCCUGGGUGACAGAGCAAGACCCUGUCUCUA